UGUGUCAUCUUCCUAGUCAAGUUUUUUGACUUGUACAACUGGCACCCAAAGGUAGGAAAGACAUGUCAUAUGGGGAUCAAAAGGUGGAAGAAGAUGAUGAGUCUAAAGAUAAUAGUGAGUGGUUGAAGCUGGAGCUUUGGAAAACUGGAAAUGGAUGGCCAAGGAUGUUUAAGAAACUAAGGAGAACCAGGUCCCCUGACACUUGGCGUCCUGUGACUGAGUGAGUCCUAGGCGUCCCGCCUUGAUCCUGCGUCCAAGAGCUGGGCUUCAGGUCAGUACUGUGUAACCAGUACGGCAGUGCUCUGUGUAGCACGGUCAGCAGUUGAAAGGUUGGGUCUUGGGGUUGUCCUUCUGUGAGUGUCUUUGUUCAUGUCUUACAGGUUUGAACAUGAAAAGCAAAAUUUAAAUCAUAAAUGCUUGUAUCUUUAAGAGCCAUUCAAUGGAAGUUACUUCCUUGAUUUUAUACCAAACAUUUAUGAACUAUACUACAAGAACUGUCCAUAUGCUUUUUUUUUAAAGAUUUAUUUAUUUAUUUGAAAGACAAAGAGAGGCAGAGAGAGAAAAAAAAGAGAUCUUCCAUCCUUUGAUUCACUCUGCAAAUGGCAACAAUGGCUGGAGUUGGGCCAAUCUGAAGCCAGGAGCCAGGA
This 647-nucleotide long non-coding RNA is filed under the name Oryctolagus cuniculus (rabbit). Its description in RNAcentral is "lncRNA (ENSOCUG00000029988.1)". The record is from RNAcentral. Lineage: Eukaryota; Metazoa; Chordata; Mammalia; Lagomorpha; Leporidae.